Molecule: ribosomal RNA, 2550 nt
Filed under: Triticum aestivum (bread wheat)
Lineage: Eukaryota; Viridiplantae; Streptophyta; Magnoliopsida; Poales; Poaceae
Description: partial small subunit ribosomal RNA
Source: RNAcentral
AUGACAGAACAGCCUAUCAAUACACUCAGCUGGAAUGUGAGAGGGCUUAAUUGCCCAGACCGUAGAGCAACUGUCAAGGCUACCAUAUCGGACACCACUUGUCAUUUGGUCUUUCUCCAGGAGACUAAGUUGAGCACCGUUGGCAGAUACAUUGCUGCUUCUCUCGGUGGAAACAAGCUUCAGAGUUUCGCGCACCGCCCGGCCACCGGAACCAGGGGCGGAAUCCUUAUGCUAUGGGAUGACAGCCUCCUUCAUGUCUCCGACAUCACCACCUCGACUUUUUGUCUCUCUGCUAUGGUGCGGAUUCGCGCUUCCGACUCAUCCUUCAAAAUCACGUCCGUCUAUGGCCCCACCGACAGCGCCUCCAAAGAUGCAUUCUUUGCGGAGCUGCUUAGCCAGAAGCCACCUCCGGGAGUGGCAUGGCUUGCCACUGGAGACUUCAACCAAAUCUACCAUGCCAGGGAUAAAAACAAACGGAAUGUUAACCGUAGCAGAAUCAAUCGCUUUCGUGCCGCUUUGCAAUCUUGCGAGCUCAAGGAGAUCCAUCUACAGAACAGGCGUUUCACCUGGAGCAAUGAGAGGACAAAUCCCACCCUUUGCAAACUUGACUCCUUCUUCUGCAACGCCGAGUGGGACACCACCUUCAACACCCAUGUGUUGCAUGCCUUGUCGUCAUCCCUCUCCGACCACUGCCCUCUCUUGCUUGCUGAUGACAAAGGACCCAAAAGACCUCGGUCUUUCAAGUUUGAAAAUUUCUGGACCACCCUUCCAGGAUUCCAUGACAUUGUCCAAAAGGUAUGGGCCGAGGGCGUGUCACACACGGAGCCUUAUCUCAUAUUGCAUCACAAGCUCAAGAAGACCGCGCUACGUCUCAAGGAGUGGAGUAGAAGACUCUUCUCAGCAGCGAACAUUCACUUCCACGCGGCACUACUCGUGAUCCUAAGGUUGGACAUUGCGCAGGAAUCGCGCCCCCUAUCGCCGGAGGAGCUUGACCUACGUGCUAGACUAAAACGCAGGGAGAGAGCGGAAAAACAGUGGCUGAUCAAGCGAUCAAUGGAUUGGGUGCUGGAUGCAUUUGGCUCCGACAAUCCUCCAUUGCUCAAUGUCCCGGCGGCAGGCUUCAAUGAUGUUGUUCACGCUUGGGAUCUUCCCCCUGAAGAGCUGCACAGGGUCCAUCUGAUUUUGUCUGCCCUCCCCUCUUCAAGAAUGAUUCCGGCGCUUCUCAUCUCCCUAGCAAGUUGCAGCACCAGAGCCUCCCGGACUGAUAUGUUUUUGCGGAUGGAUUGGGCGAACACCGUCGGGUAUGCCAGACAUACCUGCCUACCGCCAAGCCACGAGGAGGACCAGAAGGACGCCGUUGCGCCGUCGCCGAUGGUGACCGCCGUGCAAGCAGCGAACAGGGCACGAUCGGUAGCGUCGCAAGGGGUGCUUAUGGAUGGUGAGGAAUGGGGACGCUUGGGCUCAUCGACCAUCCACCAUUUGCUCCAGGAUAAUGCACGCCGCACACGAUGGGUCGAGACAAAGGGCCGUGCAAAGUGCAAGAUGCGCGCGAUGCUGACAACUCACAAUAUAUGUAGAAGAAAAGUGGUAUUAUGGAUAUAUGUCUGGAGAGGGGAGACCGUGUCGGUGCCCGAACCAGAGACUAAUCAAGAUGAAGAUGCAGAUGCAUGCGGUGCCAAUCCAUUCGUGAGAGAAAGGAAAAAGGCAGAAAAUAAAGAGGACGCAGGAAGAAACCACAGAGCUAAGAGCAAGAAGUACAGGAGGGAAAAGAUCAUGGACAUCCAUGCAGAUGCAGAUGCUAUGCUCAUGCAUGGCAGUCAUAAAAUCGCACAAGGGGCCGCAUGUGGCCAUUGGGUUAACCCCUUAAUUCCCUGUCUCCUCUCCUCUCCUCUCCCGAUCCAUCCAUCCAUAUCUCUCUCCCAUCUUUCUCUGCUCAAGCCCUCGACUGCAUCACGGUGCACUGCGCCUCUGCCCCCACCUCCUUCUGCCGCCCGCCUGCGCAUUGCCGCUAGGUUAGGUCACCACGAACUACCGGCGCACCGCGCCGCGCCAUCGACCUACGAUCGCGGAGAAGUUGCAGAUCAUGGGAGAGCAGCCAUGCUAUGUCAUCCGUGGUGCCCUCUUCUUGCAUCGCCCGUGUGGAAAUUGGUAGGAGGCCAAUUUGGCCUUUCCUUUUGCUCUCUGAGUUUAGCGAUUGACAUCUUUGCUGAUUCGCUUGGUACAAAUCAACCAACAACAGAUUGGUCGCCGGAGGCGGAGCUACCUGAAGUUACCGGGAUGCACAGGCAUCAGGCUCUCUACAACCUAGGUGACAGUAAGAGCACAUGGCCAAAGCACGGACGCUGCAGCCUGCACUCAAUCCUAGAGCGGUCAAGCAUCCGUGCAGCGCCGACCUGGAUUAGAGAGUUGAUUUUCUCCAGCUCGGCCCUGUUGAUCGCCACUGCUAUACAUGCAACAAGAGCGUCUACCAUGUUAACCGCCAACACCAGUACCCAAGAAGAAACCUUCCCCGGCGGCGGUGAGGAACAUGACAAAGUUGACGGUGCAUGA